GGAUGCGAUCAUACCAGCACGAAAGCACCGGAUCCCAUCGGAACUCUGAAGUUAAGCGUGCUUGGGCGAGAGUAGUACUAGGAUGGGUGACCUCCUGGGAAGUCCUCGUAUUGCAUUCC
Molecule: ribosomal RNA, 119 nt
Filed under: Triticum dicoccoides
Lineage: Eukaryota; Viridiplantae; Streptophyta; Magnoliopsida; Poales; Poaceae
Source: RNAcentral